CGGUUUCAUAAAUAUAGUUUUACAAAUUGUUUAACUUAUAAAAUAAUAUGAUGGGCUUAAACCUGACAAACUCGCUGAAUUGAGAGAAUGAAAUAUAUAAUUGAAUAUAUGUUUAUAUCCAAUUGAACAUUGCCUGAUUCAAGACAAGACAUCUUUUUCUAUCUUGAUGGAGUCAUCCUAACUAAAUAAAUAUUGUUAUUAUAAUACUUUCAAAUGGCUUAUUAUUUACACAUUAUAAAUUUGAGAAACACCUCUGCUUUUUCUUUAAAAUUUUGAAUAAUACAAUUCAUGAACAUAAUGAGGAAAAAAUUUAAUUAUAAUAAAUAUCUACUAGUGAUAUGGCAUUAUUAUUAAUUGUAAAUAUGAUAUAUUGGGGAAUUAUGUUUUUGUUAGACAGGCCUAAAUAAUUAAUUGAAUAUUAUUGAACCCUGUGCAAUUAUUUGUAGGUACACUGAAAUCUUCAAUGAGCCAAAGUAGUUAAUCUAUAAUAAAUUAUAAACUCAAUAUCUAUGAAGUCGGUAGAAGGGCAUUGCCGUCUUGUUUCUCAUCUCCGUCGAUAUUUUAAUAAUUUAUUUAUUAUCACACUCUCUAAACUCAAAGUACCCCAAAAUAU
Long non-coding RNA from Pieris napi, 613 nucleotides. RefSeq lists it as uncharacterized. The transcript is spliced from 2 exons. Lineage: Eukaryota; Metazoa; Arthropoda; Insecta; Lepidoptera; Pieridae. The record is from RefSeq and is a predicted model, not a curated record.